This 84-nucleotide transfer RNA is filed under the name Phycisphaerae bacterium. Its description in RNAcentral is "tRNA-Leu". It matches the Rfam family "tRNA". Rfam says of the family: Transfer RNA (tRNA) molecules are approximately 80 nucleotides in length. The record is from RNAcentral. Lineage: Bacteria; Pseudomonadati; Planctomycetota; Phycisphaerae. RNAcentral also lists the same sequence under 3 other names.
GCCCGAAUGGCGGAAUUGGUAGACGCGACGGACUCAAAAUCCGUUGGCAGCGAUGUCGUGGGGGUUCGAGUCCCUCUUCGGGCA